This 1470-nucleotide long non-coding RNA is filed under the name Fukomys damarensis (Damara mole-rat). Its description in RNAcentral is "lncRNA (ENSFDAG00000030949.1)". Lineage: Eukaryota; Metazoa; Chordata; Mammalia; Rodentia; Bathyergidae. The record is from RNAcentral.
GCGUCGGAACGGACCCCCGUGCCCGGCACGCCAGAUCGGGACCGUGGACCUGAGGCAGCCGUACAGAGGCGGCGUCCACACCUACAGUUAAGUGGAAGGGCCAAGAGGAGUAACUAGAACAUAACCCUCCUCACCUAGUUCUUGUAAAAAGUUGAAAAGUUAUCAGUGGUGUGCAUGCUAGUCAGGCGCGGAGUAGCUCAGGAUCGAGCCUCAGGAGUUUGUACCAGGCAGUGUUGGGGACGGUCUCUGAUAGAGAAGGGCCUUGUAGGAUUUAAGAUUGUCCCCUCCCGAAUGUAUCAAAACACUGUGUUUUCAAACAGAAGACCUCGCCUUUGCUGUUCUAUCUAAGUCUCCAGUGCAUCCUUUGGGACGCAGGAAAAAAACAAAACAAAACAAAAAAACAAGGGCCAAAAAGGCUAAGUGACUCCUCUCACACACUCACCCCUGCCUCACAAAAUCAGAGGAGAUGGAACCAGGACACCUGAAGAACUGUCUCUGCCGGCCAAGGACCCUCCACCUCCCUCCAGUCAACUGGCAGGAUUGAGUAGCGAACCAGGUCACUAAAGACACAAUGUAAACCCAGUGUCCCAGCACAUACCUGAACUUCCAUCACGUGGGAGGCCGAGGCAGGAGGAUCAUGAGUUUGAGGCCAACCUGGACUACAUAGCAAGACCCUGUCUCAGAACAGAAAGGGAAAAAAAGAGCUCCAUAAUGAGAUCAGUUUCCCCACUGUUUGCUAAGGAGACAAAGUGGGGAGGGAUCUUCAAGUGUUACUGUGGGAUGGUUUCCAGGCUCUUGUGCAUGAGGGACAAAGCAUUGGAUGUUGCACACAAUGAUACAGAAAAAGCAGGCUGUGUUCCCACCAUCUUCAGCGCCAGAGGGCCUUCUCUGCUGCACCCUCUCUUGCAGGCUGCGUUCCGCCAUCUUCAGCCGCGCCCUCCAGGCGGUGUUCCCGCUAUCUUUAGUGCCAGAGGACCUGCUCGGCGGGGUCCUCCCGUGCUGGCGCCGCUGCUGCCAUCUUCAGCACUAGAAAAAGAGCUGUGUGGGCACCCCAUACCCCCCCAACCUUCCCCCUCCCGCUUUUAGACCUCCUGAUUGUGCCAGUCUUUGGACCUACUCUGUAGAGGAAGAGGAGGUCAUAAAGAGUAUUUUUCAGCGCUUUUAACUUUGAACAUCUUUAAAGAAGUGGUGGGGGAAAUUUAUAGUAGAACCGAGUGGAGUUCAACCUUUCAGGAGGUCGGGGAACUCAGUCCGGGCCUUGCAGCCUGAGCUCAGCCUGCGUCAUGGGGUUCUGCCACCAGCUAGCUGAGAUCAGGGGACUCGGCUCUGCACAUGGCAGCACAUAUUGUAUAUUAUGAUAGCAGUGAUAUAGUCUGAAAGAGGCCCUUCAAACUUAUGUUUCUUUCUUUUUUUUUUUUUCUUUUUCUGUCUUCUUUCUCCAACUCAGUUUCUUACUCCACUAUAGUAUCC